GGGGAAUAUUGGGCAAUGGGCGCAAGCCUGACCCAGCAACGCCGCGUGAAGGAAGAAGGCUCUCGGGUUGUAAACUUCUUUUAUUCGGGACGAAAAAAAUGACGGUACCGAAUGAAUAAGCCACGGCUAACUACGUGCCAGCAGCCGCGGUAAUACGUAGGUGGCAAGCGUUAUCCGGAUUUACUGGGUGUAAAGGGCGUGUAGGCGGGACUACAAGUCAGAUGUGAAAUUCCAGGGCUCAACCCUGGAACUGCAUUUGAAACUGUAGUUCUUGAGUGAUGGAGAGGCAGGCGGAAUUCCGAGUGUAGCGGUGAAAUGCGUAGAUAUUCGGAGGAACACCAGUGGCGAAGGCGGCCUGCUGGACAUUAACUGACGCUGAGGCGCGAAAGCGUGGGGAGCAAACA
This 404-nucleotide ribosomal RNA is filed under the name uncultured Clostridium sp. Its description in RNAcentral is "bacterial SSU rRNA". It matches the Rfam family "Bacterial small subunit ribosomal RNA", at positions 356 to 774 of the family's 1533-position model. Lineage: Bacteria; Bacillati; Bacillota; Clostridia; Eubacteriales; Clostridiaceae. The record is from RNAcentral.